CCUACGGGAGGCAGCAGUGAGGAAUAUUGGUCAAUGGACGCAAGUCUGAACCAGCCAUGCCGCGUGCGGGAAGACGGCUCUAUGAGUUGUAAACUGCGUUUGUACGGAGGUAAAUCCCGAUAAGUGUAUCGUGUUGAAAGUAUCGUACGAAUAAGGAUCGGCUAACUCCGUUCCAGCCGCCGCGGUAAUACGGAGGAUUCAAGCGUUAUCCGGAUUUAUUGGGUUUAAAGGGAGCGUAGGCGGUUCGAUAAGUUAGAGGUGAAAUCCCGGGGCUCAACUCCGGCACUGCCUCUGAUACUGUCGGGCUAGAGGUGAGUUGCGGUAGGCGGAAUGUAUGGUGUAGCGGUGAAAUGCAUAGAGAUCAUACAGAACACCGAUUGCGAAGGCAGCUUACCAAACUACGACUGACGUUGAGGCACGAAAGCGUGGGGAGCAAACAGGAUUAGAUACCCGAGUAGUC
This 460-nucleotide ribosomal RNA is filed under the name uncultured bacterium. Its description in RNAcentral is "partial 16S ribosomal RNA". It matches the Rfam family "Bacterial small subunit ribosomal RNA", at positions 338 to 795 of the family's 1533-position model. The record is from RNAcentral.